RNAcentral lists this ribosomal RNA (1499 nucleotides) under uncultured bacterium. RNAcentral's name for it is "16S ribosomal RNA". It matches the Rfam family "Bacterial small subunit ribosomal RNA". The record is from RNAcentral.
UAGAGUUUGAUCCUGGCUCAGGAUGAACGCUAGCGACAGGCUUAACACAUGCAAGUCGAGGGGCAGCGGGGAGGUAGCAAUACUUCCGCCGGCGACCGGCGCACGGGUGAGUAACACGUAUGGAACCUGCCCGUAGCAGGGGGAUAAACGGAAGAAAUUCCGUCUAAUACCGCGUAAUAACUCCGAGAGGCAUCUCAUGGAGUUUAAAGGGUAACACCGGCUACGGAUGGCCAUGCGGCGCAUUAGCUAGUUGGCGGGGUAACGGCCCACCAAGGCGACGAUGCGUAGGGGUUCUGAGAGGAAGGUCCCCCACACUGGUACUGAGACACGGACCAGACUCCUACGGGAGGCAGCAGUGAGGAAUAUUGGUCAAUGGGCGCGAGCCUGAACCAGCCAAGUCGCGUGAGGGAAGACGGUCCUAUGGAUUGUAAACCUCUUUUGUCGGGGAGCAAAAGACGCCACGUGUGGCGUUCCGAGAGUACCCGAAGAAAAAGCAUCGGCUAACUCCGUGCCAGCAGCCGCGGUAAUACGGAGGAUGCGAGCGUUAUCCGGAUUUAUUGGGUUUAAAGGGUGCGCAGGCGGAAGAUCAAGUCAGCGGUAAAAUUGAGAGGCUCAACCUCUUCGAGCCGUUGAAACUGGUUUUCUUGAGUGAGCGAGAAGUAUGCGGAAUGCGUGGUGUAGCGGUGAAAUGCAUAGAUAUCACGCAGAACUCCGAUUGCGAAGGCAGCAUACCGGCGCUCAACUGACGCUCAUGCACGAAAGUGUGGGUAUCGAACAGGAUUAGAUACCCUGGUAGUCCACACAGUAAACGAUGAAUACUAAUUGUUCGGGGAGAAUGAUCCCUGAGUGAUACAGCGAAAGCGUUAAGUAUUCCACCUGGGGAGUACGCCGGCAACGGUGAAACUCAAAGGAAUUGACGGGGGCCCGCACAAGCGGAGGAACAUGUGGUUUAAUUCGAUGAUACGCGAGGAACCUUACCCGGGCUCAAACGACACAGGAAUACUUUUGAAAGGAGGUAGCUCUACGGAGUCUGUGUCGAGGUGCUGCAUGGUUGUCGUCAGCUCGUGCCGUGAGGUGUCGGCUUAAGUGCCAUAACGAGCGCAACCCCCAUCGCCAGUUACCAGCAAGUCAAGUUGGGGACUCUGGCGAGACUGCCGGCGCAAGCUGUGAGGAAGGCGGGGAUGACGUCAAAUCAGCACGGCCCUUACGUCCGGGGCGACACACGUGUUACAAUGGCAGGUACAGAGAGAAGCAAUGCGGCGACGCAAAGCGGAACUUGAAAGCCUGUCUCAGUUCGGAUUGGAGUCUGCAACUCGACUCCAUGAAGCUGGAUUCGCUAGUAAUCGCGCAUCAGCCAUGGCGCGGUGAAUACGUUCCCGGGCCUUGUACACACCGCCCGUCAAGCCAUGGAAGCCGGGGGUGCCUGAAGUGCGUGACCGCAAGGAGCGCCCUAGGGUAAAACCGGUGACUGGGGCUAAGUCGUAAUCAAGGUAACCGUA